RNAcentral lists this unclassified non-coding RNA (18 nucleotides) under Mus musculus (house mouse). Its description in RNAcentral is "oocyte_clustered_small_RNA1482". Lineage: Eukaryota; Metazoa; Chordata; Mammalia; Rodentia; Muridae. The record is from RNAcentral.
AAGGCUCCUAAUUCUUCC